RNAcentral lists this transfer RNA (73 nucleotides) under Heterocephalus glaber (naked mole-rat). It matches the Rfam family "tRNA". From Rfam's summary of the family: Transfer RNA (tRNA) molecules are approximately 80 nucleotides in length. Their secondary structure includes four short double-helical elements and three loops (D, anti-codon, and T loops). Further hydrogen bonds mediate the characteristic L-shaped molecular structure. tRNAs have two regions of fundamental functional importance: the anti-codon, which is responsible for specific mRNA codon recognition, and the 3' end, to which the tRNAs corresponding amino acid is attached (by aminoacyl-tRNA synthetases). tRNAs cope with the degeneracy of the genetic code in two manners: having more than one tRNA (with a specific anti-codon) for a particular amino acid; and 'wobble' base-pairing, i.e. permitting non-standard base-pairing at the 3rd anti-codon position. Lineage: Eukaryota; Metazoa; Chordata; Mammalia; Rodentia; Bathyergidae. The record is from Rfam by way of RNAcentral.
UGGGGUGUAGCUCAGUGGUAGAAUGUUUGCUUGGCACACCACAAGGACCUGGGUUCAAUCUCCAGCAUCUCAA